RNAcentral lists this ribosomal RNA (459 nucleotides) under uncultured Methylomirabilota bacterium. RNAcentral's name for it is "bacterial SSU rRNA". It matches the Rfam family "Bacterial small subunit ribosomal RNA", at positions 977 to 1434 of the family's 1533-position model. The record is from RNAcentral. Lineage: Bacteria; Methylomirabilota (SeqCode).
GGGCUUGACAUCCCACGAACCUGCUAAAAGGCAGGAGUGCCCGCAAGGGAGCGCGGAGACAGGUGGUGCAUGGCUGCCGUCAGCUCGUGUCGUGAGAUGUUGGGUUAAGUCCCGCAACGAGCGCAACCCUCACCCCUUGUUGCUACCAGGUAAAGCUGGGCACUCUAGGGGAACUGCCCCGGUCAACGGGGGGGAAGGCGGGGAUGACGUCAAGUCAUCAUGCCCCUUACGUCCUGGGCUACACACGUGCUACAAUGGCCGGUACAAAGGGAUGCCACACCGCGAGGUAGAGCUAAACCCAAAAAGCCGGUCUAAGUUCAGAUUGGAGUCUGCAACUCGACUCCAUGAAGGAGGAAUCGCUAGUAAUCGCGUAUCAGCACGACGCGGUGAAUACGUUCCCGGGCCUUGUACACACCGCCCGUCACACCACGAAAGCCAGCUGUACUCGAAGUCGCUGAG